UGCAGUCGAACGGUGAAAGAGGAGCUUGCUCCUCUGGAUCAGUGGCGAACGGGUGAGUAACACGUGAGUAACCUGCCCCAGACUCUGGGAUAAGCACUGGAAACGGUGUCUAAUACCGGAUACGAGCUUCAGCCGCAUGGCUAGGAGCUGGAAAGAAUUUCGGUCUGGGAUGGACUCGCGGCCUAUCAGCUAGUUGGUGAGGUAAUGGCUCACCAAGGCGACGACGGGUAGCCGGCCUGAGAGGGUGACCGGCCACACUGGGACUGAGACACGGCCCAGACUCCUACGGGAGGCAGCAGUGGGGAAUAUUGCACAAUGGGCGCAAGCCUGAUGCAGCAACGCCGCGUGAGGGACGACGGCCUUCGGGUUGUAAACCUCUUUUAGUAGGGAAGAAGCGAAAGUGACGGUACCUGCAGAAAAAGCACCGGCUAACUACGUGCCAGCAGCCGCGGUAAUACGUAGGGUGCAAGCGUUAUCCGGAAUUAUUGGGCGUAAAGAGCUCGUAGGCGGUUUGUCGCGUCUGCUGUGAAAACUGGAGGCUCAACCUCCAGCCUGCAGUGGGUACGGGCAGACUAGAGUGCGGUAGGGGAGAUUGGAAUUCCUGGUGUAGCGGUGGAAUGCGCAGAUAUCAGGAGGAACACCGAUGGCGAAGGCAGAUCUCUGGGCCGUAACUGACGCUGAGGAGCGAAAGCAUGGGGAGCGAACAGGAUUAGAUACCCUGGUAGUCCAUGCCGUAAACGUUGGGAACUAGAUGUAGGGACCAUUCCACGGUUUCUGUGUCGCAGCUAACGCAUUAAGUUCCCCGCCUGGGGAGUACGGCCGCAAGGCUAAAACUCAAAGGAAUUGACGG
RNAcentral lists this ribosomal RNA (850 nucleotides) under Frigoribacterium sp. 1056H38. RNAcentral's name for it is "bacterial SSU rRNA". It matches the Rfam family "Bacterial small subunit ribosomal RNA", at positions 56 to 916 of the family's 1533-position model. The record is from RNAcentral. Lineage: Bacteria; Bacillati; Actinomycetota; Actinomycetes; Micrococcales; Microbacteriaceae.